RNAcentral lists this long non-coding RNA (687 nucleotides) under Olea europaea subsp. europaea. The record is from RNAcentral. Lineage: Eukaryota; Viridiplantae; Streptophyta; Magnoliopsida; Lamiales; Oleaceae.
CGUUUCUGGCAUUUCUUCUUCUCUUCUUUAGUUUUUCUUUUUCUUUCUUUUUCCUUCACCUUUAACCUUGGUUUUCUUGAAUAUUUUGAGGAUAUUUGGAACAUGAUUAUGGUGAAGUAGCUUGGAGAAGAAGAUCAUUUGAUAUUGAAGAAGCCUCAACAAUUGCUCUCUUUAUCAAUAAGCUUUUCUUUUCCUAUUUUCCAUUAUUGUGUUGUAAGAAUUUGAUGUUAUUUGUAAUAUUUCAUGGCUAACUAAAUAUAAUUGUGAUGGGGAUUAUUUCAAACCCGAGUUAUGAUUUUCAAUUAAUUUGUGCUUUAUAGUUCUCUUGAUUGAUGUGUUUAAUCCAUUGUGUUAAAUGUUAGUUUUGUUCUUCUUGAUUGCUUAGGUGUACAACUAAAUGAUUAUGUUGUUUCAAUUAAUGCUCUUUUGGGAUUUAUAGUACGUAAUAGCUAUUUAUUCUAAAACCUUGUAGCAAUUACAUUUCGAUAGAUUAUGAAGAAUUUUCAAUUGAAUGUAUGUAGAUUAACACUUAAGUUAGUAAAUCGAGCUUGCGAGUUUGCCCUUAAUUCAAUUCAUCUCUUUUGUCGUAGUGCGUUUGUUAAAUUAAAUCUAGAAAGCUUGUUCUAGGUUGUUUAACGAAAAGGGUCGAGUGAAAAUCUUGUUUUAUUCGACUAAUAUGUAAGAAGA